AACGCGAAGAACCUUACCAGGUCUUGACAUCCCCAUGAAACGCCUAGAGAUAGGUGCCCUCUUCGGAGCAUGGGAGACAGGUGGUGCAUGGUUGUCGUCAGCUCGUGUCGUGAGAUGUUGGGUUAAGUCCCGCAACGAGCGCAACCCUUGAUCUUAGUUGCCAGCACUUCGGGUGGGCACUCUAAGAUGACUGCCGGUGACAAACCGGAGGAAGGUGGGGAUGACGUCAAAUCAUCAUGCCCCUUAUGACCUGGGCUACACACGUACUACAAUGGCCGGUACAACGGGAAGCGAAGCCGCGAGGCGGAGCGAAUCCUUAUAAGCCGGUCUCAGUUCGGAUUGCAGGCUGCAACUCGCCUGCAUGAAGUCGGAAUUGCUAGUAAUCGCGGAUCAGCAUGCCGCGGUGAAUACGUUCCCGGGCCUUGUA
RNAcentral lists this ribosomal RNA (427 nucleotides) under uncultured Bacillota bacterium. Its description in RNAcentral is "bacterial SSU rRNA". It matches the Rfam family "Bacterial small subunit ribosomal RNA", at positions 958 to 1385 of the family's 1533-position model. Lineage: Bacteria; Bacillati; Bacillota. The record is from RNAcentral.